UCAGAGUGAGCAUGAUAAGCCUGUGCUGUU
Molecule: non-coding RNA, 30 nt
Filed under: Rattus norvegicus (Norway rat)
Lineage: Eukaryota; Metazoa; Chordata; Mammalia; Rodentia; Muridae
Source: RNAcentral